CUGCACGAAUGGCGUAAUGAUGGCCAGGCUGUCUCCACCCGAGACUCAGUGAAAUUGAACUCGCUGUGAAGAUGCAGUGUACCCGCGGCAAGACGGAAAGACCCCGUGAACCUUUACUAUAGCUUGACACUGAACAUUGAGCCUUGAUGUGUAGGAUAGGUGGGAGGCUUUGAAGUGUGGACGCCAGUCUGCAUGGAGCCGACCUUGAAAUACCACCCUUUAAUGUUUGAUGUUCUAACGUGGACCCGUUACCCGGGUUGCGGACAGUGUCUGGUGGGUAGUUUGACUGGGGCGGUCUCCUCCUAAAGAGUAACGGAGGAGCACGAAGGUUGGCUAAUCCUGGUCGGACAUCAGGAGGUUAGUGCAAUGGCAUAAGCCAGCUUGACUGCGAGCGUGACGGCGCGAGCAGGUGCGAAAGCAGGUCAUAGUGAUCCGGUGGUUCUGAAUGGAAGGGCCAUCGCUCAACGGAUAAAAGGUACUCCGGGGAUAACAGGCUGAUAC
RNAcentral lists this ribosomal RNA (501 nucleotides) under Salmonella enterica. Its description in RNAcentral is "partial 23S ribosomal RNA". It matches the Rfam family "Bacterial large subunit ribosomal RNA", at positions 1988 to 2488 of the family's 2925-position model. Lineage: Bacteria; Pseudomonadati; Pseudomonadota; Gammaproteobacteria; Enterobacterales; Enterobacteriaceae. The record is from RNAcentral.